UACGUAGGGUGCUAGCGUUGUCCGGAUUUAUUGGGCGUAAAGAGCUCGUAGGCGGUCCGUCACGUCGGCUGUGAAAUCCCGAGGCUCAACCUCGGGUCUGCAGUCGAUACGGGCAAACGAGAGUAUUGCAGGGGAGACUGGAAUUCCUGGUGUAGCGGUGAAAUGCGCAGAUAUCAGGAGGAACACCGGUGGCGAAGGCGGGUCUCUGGGCAAUAACUGACGCUGAGGAGCGAAAGCGUGGGGAGCGAACAGG
This 253-nucleotide ribosomal RNA is filed under the name uncultured bacterium. RNAcentral's name for it is "partial 16S ribosomal RNA". It matches the Rfam family "Bacterial small subunit ribosomal RNA", at positions 524 to 776 of the family's 1533-position model. The record is from RNAcentral.